RNAcentral lists this ribosomal RNA (699 nucleotides) under Glomeromycotina sp. OTU25 DJMC-2012. Its description in RNAcentral is "eukaryotic LSU rRNA". It matches the Rfam family "Eukaryotic large subunit ribosomal RNA", at positions 44 to 645 of the family's 3401-position model. Lineage: Eukaryota; Fungi; Glomeromycota. The record is from RNAcentral.
CAUUAAGCGGAGGAAAGGAAACUACCAAGGAUUCCCCUAGUAACGGCGAGUGAAGCGGGAACAGCUCAAAUUUUAAAUCUGGCUGCUUCGCAGUCCGAGUUGUAAUUUGAAGGCGUCUGUCGCAUGUGAGACGAUGGCACAAGUCCUCUGGAACGUGGCAUCGUAGAGGGUGAGAAUCCCGUCUCUGGUCGUUGUCUUGCAGGCACACGGCAGGCGAUCCGAAGAGUCGAGUUGUUUGGGAUUGCAGCUCCAAAUGGGUGGUAAACUCCAUCUAAGGCUAAAUAUUGGCGAGAGACCGAUAGCGAACAAGUACCGUGAGGGAAAGAUGAAAAGAACUUUGAAAAGAGAGUAAAACAGUACGUGAAAUUGUUGAAAGGGAAACGCUUGAAGUCAGUCGUGCCGGCGGGGAUUCAGCGAACUUCGCGGAGUGAGCGUAUUUCCUCGCAUGGCAGGUCAGCGUCAGUUUUGCGCGUCGUGAAAGGGCUCGGGUAAGGUGACUCUCUUCGGGGAGUGUUAUAGGCCUGAGCAGAUGCGAUGYGCGGGACUGAGGAUUGCAGCGGACACCCUUCGGGGCGCGGCGACCGAUCCCUGCUCUGUCACCUUCGUCCGAUAGCGUGCUAACGGUCGGGGGARCGGCGGUUGCACCGGGUUGGCAAGCCCGCCGCUUCCCUAAAGAUGCUGGCCUAAUGGCUUUUAACC